GUGAAUCAUCGAAUUUUUGAACGCAAAUUGCACUCUCUUCGGAGAGUAUGCCUGUUUGAGGGUCAGCAUAAAAAAAAAUCGACAUAGUCGCUGUUUCGCGGUGUCAUUAGUCGGAGAUUGGGUCUUCUUAAAUUUUUGGGUUUUAAUCGGCUUAAAAUUUUCUUUACGAUUUCACGACCGUUUCUAAGAUUUU
RNAcentral lists this unclassified non-coding RNA (193 nucleotides) under Glomus sp. RNAcentral describes it as "partial contains 5.8S ribosomal RNA and internal transcribed spacer 2". The stretch from base 1 to 65 matches the Rfam family "5.8S ribosomal RNA", at positions 84 to 154 of the family's 154-position model. The record is from RNAcentral. Lineage: Eukaryota; Fungi; Glomeromycota; Glomeromycetes; Glomerales; Glomeraceae.